AAAUGAUUGUCAUCAGUGUCCAGUCUUGUGACGGCGUACCUUUUGUAUAAUGGGUCAUCGACUUGGUCUAUCCAGCAAGCUUAAGCCGUUAGGUGUAGGCGCAGCGAAAGCGAGUCUUAAUAGGGCGUCGAGUUGGAUGGAUCAGACCCGAAACCGAGUGAUCUAGGCAUGACCAGGCUGAAGGUAGGGUAACACCUACUGGAGGGCCGAACCCACACCUGUUGAAAAAGGUCGGGAUGAGUUG
This 244-nucleotide ribosomal RNA is filed under the name Wenzhouxiangella sp. Its description in RNAcentral is "partial 23S ribosomal RNA". It matches the Rfam family "Bacterial large subunit ribosomal RNA", at positions 568 to 811 of the family's 2925-position model. Lineage: Bacteria; Pseudomonadati; Pseudomonadota; Gammaproteobacteria; Chromatiales; Wenzhouxiangellaceae. The record is from RNAcentral.